GCUCGGUUAGCUCAGCUGGUUAGAGCGUCGUACUAAUAUCUCCCGCUCAGGGACAUAUCAAGUUCAUGCGAAGGUCAUGAGUUCAAUCCUCAUACUGAGCA
Molecule: transfer RNA, 101 nt
Filed under: Hypoxylon sp. FL0890
Lineage: Eukaryota; Fungi; Ascomycota; Sordariomycetes; Xylariales; Hypoxylaceae
Description: tRNA-Ile
Rfam family: tRNA
About the family: Transfer RNA (tRNA) molecules are approximately 80 nucleotides in length. Their secondary structure includes four short double-helical elements and three loops (D, anti-codon, and T loops).
Source: RNAcentral